This 433-nucleotide ribosomal RNA is filed under the name uncultured bacterium. RNAcentral's name for it is "partial 16S ribosomal RNA". It matches the Rfam family "Bacterial small subunit ribosomal RNA", at positions 29 to 507 of the family's 1533-position model. The record is from RNAcentral.
AACGAACGCUGGCGGCAUGCCUAACACAUGCAAGUCGAACGAACCCUUCGGGGUUAGUGGCGCACGGGUGCGUAACGCGUGGGAAUCUGCCCUUUGCUUCGGAAUAACUUAGGGAAACUUGUGCUAAUACCGGAUGAUGUCUUCGGACCAAAGAUUUAUCGGCAAGGGAUGAGCCCGCGUAGGAUUAGGUAGUUGGUGGGGUAAAGGCCUACCAAGCCGACGAUCCUUAGCUGGUCUGAGAGGAUGAUCAGCCACACUGGGACUGAGACACGGCCCAGACUCCUACGGGAGGCAGCAGUGGGGAAUAUUGGACAAUGGGCGCAAGCCUGAUCCAGCAAUGCCGCGUGAGUGAUGAAGGCCCUCGGGUCGUAAAGCUCUUUUACCAGGGAUGAUAAUGACAGUACCUGGAGAAUAAGCUCCGGCUAACUCCGUG